This is a non-coding RNA of Styela clava, 1787 nucleotides long. The record is from RefSeq and is a predicted model, not a curated record. Lineage: Eukaryota; Metazoa; Chordata; Ascidiacea; Stolidobranchia; Styelidae.
UUAUAAACACAGAUUCAAAAAUGGCUGCUUAUAUUGAAGCUUGCAGAAGAAAAGCCCCAACAAUCUCUCCAUAUCGUAUAAGAAAGAAAAAUCUCAAUUGCAGGCAAUCUGCGAUGAAAAUAUGAUCUUCACAGACAUUGUGGUCAAAUGGCCUGGCUCGAGUCAUGAUUCGUUCAUUUUACAACAAUCCAACAUAUAUGACAAAUUCGAAAGUGGCCAAUUUGGUAACAGCUUGCUGCUUGGGGACAGUGGAUACCCAUUAAAAAAAUGGUUGAUGACACCAAUAUCAAAUCCCAAUGGGACAGCCGCUGAAAGAUAUAAUAUUGCACACAAAAAGACAAGAGUGAUUAUCGAAAAAGCAUUUGGAGUGUUGAAGCAAAGGUGGCGUAUUCUUGAUCAUACCGGGGGCAAAUUGUGCUAUACACCAUUGAAAGUUGCGAAAAUUAUAGUAUGCUGUGUUAUUCUACACAAUAUGUGCAGGAGAAAUAAUGUUCCUCUGCCUUCCAAUGGGAGAAUUUACCCUGUACCAGACACAGAUGACACUGCAGCACAAGAUGAUUUCGAACCCACUGCAGAGUCCGUGCGUUCGGCCAUAGUUUCAAGUUUUAGUUAGUGUAUCGUCAAAAUUUUUGUGUGCUUGCAGUAAGGGUGUUGUCAAAAACUUAAUACACAUGAAAUUGGUGACAAGCGUGACGUCACCACAGAUUACCUCAUACCCUUGCGACAUGUGUCAUGUACAUUUCAGAUCGAGUCGAUUUGAAUAUGGCCACUCUCAGCUUGGUUGGGGCUGUUUGUGUCACAAUAUCAAAUUUGAAUAUUCGGAACACUUCGUCAUUCAAUGAUUGUGACAUAAGCAGCCCCAACCAAGCCCUUAACUGAGCUGGGAGUGACCAUAUUAAUAUUGACACAUCUUUCUGAAAUGUUUGAUAGACUUGUCGCAAGGGGAUGGCGGAAUCAGUGAUGACGUCACGCUAUUCGCCAAUUUCCAGGUUGUAUCAAGUUUUUGACAACUCCCUGGCAGCGAGUCAUAAUCCCCCUAUACAUGUUGAAAAAGUAACAUGAAAUUAAGUCUUCAAAUUUCUUUAAGAAAAUAAAUGAGUCUCAAUUUUGCGUUCCUUUUUCAAUUUUUAAGUACCGGUAUAAAAUUUUGCGUUGGAGAGUAUACAAAAUAUGAAAACUCAAAAUCGUUUACUUAUAAAUAACACACUUUAAUUUUAAAAGCUGCUGAACAUAAAUUUUUUAAAAAGUAACACUUGGGCUUGACCAUGUCAUUCAUCAUCUUCCGGAAUUUCUUGCAAGUCACUAGAUUCAGAUAUUUCAAUGGAGUUUUUUAUUCAACUUAAUUUUUACACCCACAGUUUGAUGUUGAGAAAUAAAGAUCUUUGGCCUGUCCUGUUUCAUGGGAAGGGCUCAUUUUAAAAUUCCGGCUAGGUCUUAUUUUUGGAAAAACACAUAAAUAAGAAACCCAAAAAUAAGACCUAGCCGGAAUUUUAAAAUAAGCCCUUCCCAUGAAACAGGACAGGCCAAAGAUCUUUAUUUCUCAACAUCAAACUGUGGGUGUAAAAAUUAAGUUGAAUAAAAAACUCCAUUGAAAUAUCUGAAUCUAGUGACUUGCAAGAAGCAAGAAAUUCCGGAAGAUGAUGACAUGGUCAAGCCCUAGUGUUACUUUUUGAAAAAUUUAUGUUCAGCAGCUUUCAAAAUUAAUUAUGUCAACAUCUACGCCAGAGCUGUAUUUUAUCAUUUUGUUGCUAUGUUUUUUUGCAAUAAAGAAACCACUUUGAAUAAUA